AUGAUCCGAUCUUGUUCGUUACGGCGACCCCCCUCUCUGUCUGCGUCAUUUUCUCCCUGCUCCGGCUGGAGCAAGUGGAGGAUGGGCACCAAGGGUGCGGCAACUUUGCUUGCCAUCCUCUGCUCCUUGCUUCUUCUCUCGUUGAGCUGCGGGUGCCUGGCGCCAGAGUCGGAGGGGGAUCAGACGGCACUGCUGGAGGUCGAUACAUCAUGGAAGGCCGCCAGAAAGAUCCCUCAAACCCUCUUUGGCUUGUUCUUUGAGGAAAUCAACCACGCUGGAGCUGGUGGAUUGUGGGCGGAGCUUGUCAGUAACAGAGGUUUUGAAGCUGGAGGGCCUUACACUCCUUCAAAUAUAGAUCCAUGGUCCAUCAUUGGUGACGAAUCCUCCAUAUACGUGAAGACUGAAAGAGCAUCUUGUUUCAGUAGAAAUAUCGUUGCUCUAAGGAUGGAAAUUCUUUGUGCCAAGUGUCCAGCUGGCGGUGUUGGUAUUUACAACCCGGGAUUCUGGGGCAUGAACAUCGAAGAGGGGAAGAGCUAUAAUCUGGUAAUGUAUAUCAGAUCACUAGAAUCCGUGGAGUUGACUGCUUCACUCACAUGUUCAGAUGGACUGCAAAAUAUAGCAGCAGCUGUCAUAGUAGAUACAAAUGUGUCAGAUUGGAGAAAGAUAGAGAUGCAAUUAUUAGCUAAAGGAACGUGCAGAACUUCAAGACUUGAGUUAACAACUUCCAAAAGGGGAGUCAUAUGGAUCGAUCAAGUGUCGCUCAUACCUUCAGAUACAUACAAGGGCCAUGGCUUUCGCAAGGAACUCAUACACAUGCUUGUGGAUUUAAAACCACAGUUCCUACGAUUUCCUGGUGGUACCUUUGUUGAAGGCAUUUUGUUAAGAAAUGCUUUCAGAUGGAGGGAAACUAUCGGUCCAUGGGAAGAGAGGCCUGGGCACUAUGGAGACGUUUGGAAUUACUGGACAGAUGAUGGUCUUGGGUAUUAUGAGCUUCUCCAGCUUGCGGAAGACCUGGGCGCCGAGCCAAUCUGGGUUUUUAAUGCUGGGAUCAGCCGGAAUGAUCAAGUUGAUACCACUGCCAUCGCACCUUUUGUAAAGGAUGUAUUGGACAGCCUUGAGUUCGCUAGGGGAAGUGCAAAAUCGACAUGGGGAUCUGUUAGAGCUGCAAUGGGGCAUCCUGAACGAUUUCCGCUGAAGUAUGUCGCGGUUGGGAAUGAAGAUUGUGACAACACCAAACCAUUUUACCAGGGACAUUACCUCAAGUUCUACAAUGCCAUACGAGGGGCCUAUCCAGAUAUUCAAAUUAUUUCAAACUGCGAUGGCUCAUCUGAGCCACUUGACCAUCCUGCGGAUUUAUAUGAUUUCCAUAUAUAUAACAGUGCUAAUGAUCUUUUUCUCAAGAAAGAUACAUUUAGCAGGACAUCACGUACCGGGCCUAAGGUAUUCGUUAGUGAGUAUGCUGUUCAUGUUGAUGGGGAUACCAGCAAGGGAAGCCUUCAAGCUUCAUUGGCAGAGGCUGCAUUCCUCAUUGGAUUAGAAGUGAAUAGUGAUAUCGUCCACAUGGCGAGCUAUGCUCCACUCUUCGUAAAUGACAACGACCGCAAAUGGAACCCAGAUGCGAUAGUCUUCAACUCCUGGCAACAGUAUGGAACUCCUAGUUACUGGAUGCAGACAUUUUUCGGUGAAUCAAGUGGUGCUGUGAUCCAUCCAGUGAGACUCAAUUCCAGCUACUCUGGUUCAUUGGCAGCAUCUGCAAUUACCUGGCAAGACAAUGAGGAUAUCUUCCUGAGGAUAAAGAUUGUGAACUUUGGGCCGAACGCUGUGAACCUCACAUUAUCUGCAACCGGACUGGAAGCUGGUGUUAAUGCGUCAAGAUCAGCUGUCACCGUUCUCACAUCCAACGAUUCAUUGGAUGAGAACUCGUUCGAUGACCCACUUAAGGUUAAGCCGGUAAAAAGUGGUCUACCCAGCGCUGCAGAGGAGAUGCAGGCCAUGCUGGUUCCUCACUCUUUCACUUCAUUUGAUCUGGCUCUGGAUGAGUACGGCGAGCUCGCAGCUGACAUGUGA
RNAcentral lists this ribosomal RNA (2067 nucleotides) under Triticum aestivum (bread wheat). RNAcentral describes it as "partial small subunit ribosomal RNA". The record is from RNAcentral. Lineage: Eukaryota; Viridiplantae; Streptophyta; Magnoliopsida; Poales; Poaceae.